GGGGGCGUAGUCCAAUUGGCAGAGACACACCACUUAAAAUGGUGUCAGUGUGGGUUCGAAUCCCACCGCCCCCA
RNAcentral lists this transfer RNA (74 nucleotides) under Thermobaculum terrenum ATCC BAA-798. RNAcentral's name for it is "tRNA-Leu (TAA) (tRNA-Leu-TAA-1-1)". It matches the Rfam family "tRNA". From Rfam's summary of the family: Transfer RNA (tRNA) molecules are approximately 80 nucleotides in length. Their secondary structure includes four short double-helical elements and three loops (D, anti-codon, and T loops). RNAcentral also lists the same sequence under 1 other name. Lineage: Bacteria; Bacillati; Chloroflexota; Chloroflexia; Thermobaculales (SeqCode); Thermobaculaceae (SeqCode). The record is from Rfam by way of RNAcentral.